GCUGCUGACUUGUACACUUUAAAAUGGUUGUUAUACAAUACAGAGAAGAUUAGCAUGGCCCCUGUGCAAGGAUGACAUGAAGAUUUGUGAAGUGUUCCAUAUUUCA
This is a small nuclear RNA of Vicugna pacos (alpaca), 106 nucleotides long. NCBI's taxonomy places the organism in Eukaryota, Metazoa, Chordata, Mammalia, Artiodactyla, Camelidae. The record is from Ensembl.